AUCCUCCUUUCCCUCUAAGAUAGGUGCAUUAGGAUAAAGAAUAUUCAUAAUAUCAUCGUCUAUUCUAUCACCAACUGCUACAUCAUGUAGAAAAUCAACAUCUCUAAAUUGAAAACAUGGGUGACCACUAUCAAGGAUUCCGAAGGUUUCAUUACUAUUUCUAGGUUGGCUACUACUUUGAACUUGUUUAUCUUUUCUAGGUCGGGGAGCCGGGGGAGN
This 219-nucleotide long non-coding RNA is filed under the name Nicotiana benthamiana. RNAcentral's name for it is "long non-coding RNA (NBEN_LNC036444)". The record is from RNAcentral. Lineage: Eukaryota; Viridiplantae; Streptophyta; Magnoliopsida; Solanales; Solanaceae.